Molecule: ribosomal RNA, 520 nt
Filed under: bacterium enrichment culture clone ACBac37
Lineage: Bacteria
Description: bacterial SSU rRNA
Rfam family: Bacterial small subunit ribosomal RNA
Source: RNAcentral
UAGAGUUUGAUCCUGGCUCAGAUUGAACGCUGGCGGCAUGCCUUACACAUGCAAGUCGAACGGUAACGCGGGGCAACCUGGCGACGAGUGGCGAACGGGUGAGUAAUACAUCGGAACGUGCCCAGUAGUGGGGGAUAGCCCGGCGAAAGCCGGAUUAAUACCGCAUACGACCUACGGGUGAAAGCGGGGGAUCGCAAGACCUCGCGCUAUUGGAGCGGCCGAUGUCAGAUUAGCUAGUUGGUGGGGUAAAAGCCUACCAAGGCGACGAUCUGUAGCUGGUCUGAGAGGACGACCAGCCACACUGGGACUGAGACACGGCCCAGACUCCUACGGGAGGCAGCAGUGGGGAAUUUUGGACAAUGGGGGCAACCCUGAUCCAGCCAUGCCGCGUGCGGGAAGAAGGCCUUCGGGUUGUAAACCGCUUUUGUCGGGGAAGAAACGGUCUGCGCUAAUACCGCGGACUAAUGACGGUACCCGAAGAAUAAGCACCGGCUAACUACGUGCCAGCAGCCGCGGUAAU